CAGGCUCAGAAAUUAUGCACAGGUUUUUAUACUUUAUAAAUCUGUUUUUAUAAACAGGUCCAUUGGGACCCUCAGGAGUUAUGGAAGACACAGGACAAUGCCUCAUUCUGUGGGAAUGUCUAACAUUCUGUUAGAAUGUCUAACCACACAGGCUCCUCCCUCCUCAAUGCCUCAGGUGUCCACAAUCAUCAUGAGAAUGAUGGGCACCCCCACAGAUUUCCAAAAUAUCCCUAGGCAGCAAUAUCACUUUUGCUGAGAACUACUGGUUUGCUGUUUUUUCUCCAGGGCUGCCCCCACUGACUCAAAUGACUGAAAGUUGAUUCUAACUGUGAAACCAAAGAAUGAUAGCACUAGAAGGGACCCUAAAGUUUAUCUAUCUGGCCCCCUCCCUUUACCCAUGUUAGGACAUUUGGGGUUGAAAUCAUUCCUCACCACUGAGCUUCAGUGUCAGGCUGGAUACUCUCUAGUGCCCACUAAAAUCCUGGAUUCUUGCAUGCAAAUAAAUCAGAAAGAUGCAAAAAUAAAAUCCUUUACAAAAUGUCCAAAAGACUGGCCUCUAGGAGCAGAAUUGUCUUAGCCGGUUAGUGUCCAAUUGGUUUUCCCACUAUUCUUCCCAAACUCCAGCUAUCAGAAUCUAAGCAGGACCUUGGGAACUAAGUAACUGACUUCAUACGCUCGUGCCCUGCGCAGGGCCUCUGGCUCUGC
This 705-nucleotide long non-coding RNA is filed under the name Mustela putorius furo (domestic ferret). RNAcentral's name for it is "lncRNA (ENSMPUG00000031578.1)". The record is from RNAcentral. Lineage: Eukaryota; Metazoa; Chordata; Mammalia; Carnivora; Mustelidae.